CUUACACUGACUGUAUAGAAAGAGGAGGUAGAGUAAACCUACCCCAUAUACACCUCAGCUCAGGCCCUGUGCCUGGUCUGUAUUGUGAAUGGGGGAACACAGAAUUGAGGAAGAUUUGGAUCUUUGUCCCUUUUCCUCCAGGCAGAGUAGGUGUGGAGAGGGCAAGGCUGUAGCUCUGUGGUUUUUGAUGAAGCAGCUGGGCCAGGGAGUGACUGUGGCUCUUUGCAGGGAGUGGUACGGGUAUCACUUUCCGGAGCUGGUGAAGAUCAUCAACGACAAUGCCACAUACUGCCGUCUCGCCCAGUUUAUUGGAAACCGAAGGGAACUGAAUGAGGACAAGCUGGAGAAGCUGGAGGAGCUAACAAUGGAUGGGGCCAAGGCUAAGGCUAUUCUGGAUGCCUCACGGUCCUCCAUGGGCAUGGACAUAUCUGCCAUUGACUUGAUAAACAUCGAGAGCUUCUCCAGUCGUGUGGUGUCUUUAUCUGAAUACCGCCAGAGCCUACACACUUACCUGCGCUCCAAGAUGAGCCAAGUAGCCCCCAGCCUGUCAGCCCUAAUUGGGGAAGCGGUAGGUGCACGUCUCAUCGCACAUGCUGGCAGCCUCACCAACCUGGCCAAGUAUCCAGCAUCCACAGUGCAGAUCCUUGGGGCUGAAAAGGCCCUGUUCAGGUACCAGUGAGGGCACCUGCCCACAAUCAGGUGCCACUUCUGGUGCCCACUGCUUGUUGGGGGAUCACGGUGAUGGCUGACCAGGGCUCCCUGACCUAUACAGGCCUCUGCUAUGGGGGUGAUGGCCAGUCCUGGUGUCUGAGUGAUUCCCAGGGCCCAGCAAAGGGACCAAGUCUCCAGAGCCCUGAAGACAAGGGGUAACACUCCAAAAUAUGGACUCAUUUUCCACUCCACCUUCAUUGGCCGAGCAGCUGCCAAGAACAAAGGCCGCAUCUCCCGAUACCUGGCAAACAAAUGCAGUAUUGCCUCACGAAUCGAUUGCUUCUCUG
Molecule: small RNA, 998 nt
Filed under: Pongo abelii (Sumatran orangutan)
Lineage: Eukaryota; Metazoa; Chordata; Mammalia; Primates; Hominidae
Description: processed transcript
Rfam family: Small nucleolar RNA SNORA51 (bases 1-102)
Source: RNAcentral